AAACCAUGAUGGGGGCAAAGCCUAAACAUUUCUUUGAAACGCUCUCACGCAUCGUAAAGAGAUUCUCCAUCUCUUUGAGUGAAUUAUGUGAUUUGAUUCCUCAUUU
Molecule: small nucleolar RNA, 106 nt
Filed under: Medicago truncatula (barrel medic)
Lineage: Eukaryota; Viridiplantae; Streptophyta; Magnoliopsida; Fabales; Fabaceae
Description: snoRNA gene50626
Rfam family: Plant small nucleolar RNA R71
About the family: R71 is a member of the C/D box family of snoRNAs containing the C (UGAUGA) and D (CUGA) box motifs.
Source: Rfam by way of RNAcentral